AUGGUGUUCGCACCUCAGAUCCUUGGAUUUCUGCUUCUCUGGAUUUCAGCCUCCAGAGGUGAUAUUGUGCUAACUCAGUCUCCAGCCACCCUGUCUGUGAAUCCAGGAGAAAGAGUCAGUCUUUCCUGCAGGGCCAGCCAAAGUAUUAGCAACUACCUACACUGGUAUCAACAAAAAAUCACAUGAGUCUCCAAGGCUUCUUCUCAUCAAGUAUGCUUCCCAGCCCAUCUCUGGGAUCCCCUACAGGUCAUGUGCCAACAUAUCCUCAGUGGAGGGUAUAAAGGUUUGCCCACUUCCUACAAUAAAAGGGUCUACUUUUGAUACUUUCUUGACUGCCAGAGUCUUUAUGGUUAACUCUACACAUGUUUACCCCAACCUAGCACUCAAGGGC
Molecule: non-coding RNA, 391 nt
Organism: Mus musculus (house mouse)
Lineage: Eukaryota; Metazoa; Chordata; Mammalia; Rodentia; Muridae
Source: the annotation of a RefSeq genome assembly